Callithrix jacchus (white-tufted-ear marmoset) is the source of this 5333-nucleotide non-coding RNA. The record is from RefSeq and is a predicted model, not a curated record. Lineage: Eukaryota; Metazoa; Chordata; Mammalia; Primates; Cebidae.
GAAGCACUGGUGACAGAGACCAGGUCAGAGCCAGUGAGGCUCCUGAUCUUUCCCUUUGACACCCUUCCAGGGGUCCUUCCUCCCUCCUGUGGAACCUAGGAGUCCAGAAUACCAGCCUCUAACUUUCCUCUGGGCAUGGGGCAGGGCUCAUCAUGCAGGACAUUGAUUUAUUUAUUCAAAAAGUGCCCUACUGUGUGCCAAGUACUGAGUUACAUGCUGGGUAUCUGGAGGAUGCUGACCCUUUUCUGAGACUCCCAGGGUAUUCAGGAUGCUGGUCUGCUGCUGCCACAGGACACACACUCAGGAGAGAAGGACAAGAGCCCAAGCCUGGGAUGGUGUCUGUGGCCAUCAUAGCCAUGUGCAGCUGUGACUUCAACCGCAGCCACCUCUUCUGUUUACCUUGGCAGUCACCAUGCUCCAUGGAUUCCUGGUUCCCAGCCUGAUCCACAUCAGUCCUAGGAGGAAAAUGAGGUGGCUCUAAAAUUCUGUACCUUGUCCCUGUCUCCCACUCUGGCCCUCUUGCUCUUUUAGUGGUGGGGAAUUUUAUGCUCAGGAAAUCCAAGGACCCAUCACUCACCCACCAGGUCCCCUGAUAUCCACACAGCCUCUGGAGCUGUGCCAUCCACAGUAUGGGUCCUGAGAAGCUAGACAGCUCCUAGGGAAAGCAGAGGCAUGUGAAGCUGGAACCUUUUCCGUUCUAGUCACUUAACAUUCUGCUGCCUCUUCCUGCCCUUGCUUAGAGGAGACUCCCAGCCUCAUUCUCUCCUGCCCACCCCAGUCUCUCCACACCCUGGUUGCUGCCCACCUUCAGAAUGCUUGAGGUACCCACACACAUCCCAGUCAUCCCCUAUGUUUCCCUGCCAACCCCAAGACCUGUUUCUGUGCUCUUGCUGGCCUGGGGAGCUUGCCCACACAGGGCCUCAGGCCCCUCUCACCUCUGACAGGCCCCAUGCCGGGCACACCGGCUGAGAGGGAGGUAGACAAUACAGCCAGAAAAAGCCACAAAGAGCCUGUGACCCUCAGUGUCCAGCUCCAGCCCUAUGAUCCGUCGUGCUGUUAGGGCUGCCCGCUUCCCACUGCACCUAGGAUGAGGCCAGAAGGAACCAGAGAUGGACAGGUGAAGCUACCUUUACCCUGAGUGAGUAGAAAAACAGAAAGCGGGGAGGUGCACAAGAAACUGAGCACAACCCAUGGAGCUGCCCUGCCCGACCACACUGUCCAGUCUUCUUGCCAAGCCUCUCUAGCCCAGAGUUCCCACCCUGCAAAAGCCAAUGUUGAUGUUUCCAAGCCAUUCCCACAUCCACAGCUGCUACCUCCCAUUCCAUCCUUGCUCUGCAGGGGACCUGCUCUCCAAAGGUCUCACCUGGCAGGGCUGUAGGCAUCAAUCUCUUCCAGGAGGAUCGGCUCAGGUCCCCCAGAUCGCCCACCUGGGGGCAGCACCUUCAGCACUGUCCCGUCAUUGGAGCCAAGGAACAUGACUGUGAUGUUACUGUGGGGACCAGCCAUGCCAUCCACAGCUACCUGGGUCAGUAGGGCCCUGGAGGAAAGGGCCUGAGGUCAGGGAACCUGUCUAGGGAAGCCUGAGCAUUUCAGGGAGAGCCCGGCUGUCCUGGUAGCUGUGGCUGUGCCCUCCCCUCAGGCCCCAGGGUUCUCUUCUUAGCUCUCUCCAUUCUGCUUUUACAAGUUCUUCCUCCUACCAAUGUGGUUUACCUUGUGGGGUCAAAGAAAAAGGAGGGUGGCUGAGGAUGGGGGAAGUGGUGUUUUUCAGCCCCAUACCUGCUAGUGAGAGUGAGUAGAGGCUGAUGGGUGGCAGGUGGCACAGCGGGGUCCAGCAGCGGGUGAGCCUUGAUGAAGGUCAGGACGUCAUCAGGGAGGUCUCGAGAAGAGGAGAACAAGGCAGCUCCCCCUAUUCCUGCACAGGAUCCUGGCCUGGGGGGUGCAUAGGAAGGGGCUGCCUUGGGACUGGGAGCUAGAGCUUACGUUAAGCUCUGUGCCCCCCAUUGCUCCCAAACAUGACUAGAAAGCCUUUCUCCCCCUCCACACAGACACUCAUACCACUGCUCCCCUUCCCUGCCAUAGCUCUUUGGUCCCACUGCUACCCCACUACAGCUCCCCACCCUGAGGCCUUGGAUAUCUUACCCCCUCCUCAUAAUCCCGUCUUGCAGAAGCAAACAGCAUCUGCCCCCACAAAAGCAACUCCGUCUUGGGUACCUGGGUGAGGGGACCCUGUCCUCAGACACAGGAGUCCAGGCCCCAUCCAGACUCCUCUGCUCCUUGAACUUGCCCUCAAACCCACGCUCAAUCUCAUCCAGGUAGAAGGCGCAGACAGCAGAGCCAGGGAUGCUGGAGGAGCCAGAAAAGAUGCAGGAUAGGUGUUGAAAGGAACUGCACAACUUUCCCCAGGAAGAAGUGGUGGCCCCCUUCACGCACCACGUUAGGAGGUAGAGACUGAGGAGGUGGGGCAGCCACUGGGUGCCACACUAGGAGAAAACAUGGUAGGCAAGACAGCAAACUGGCUUUGCUUAGAGGUUUCCUUGACGGCCCCCCAUCAGCAGGCUGUGAAAGGGGAGUUUGGAGGCUGGUGAGGCAGGGGACAGAUCAGGUCACACUAGUUAGACUAGUACCAACCUAUUGGUCUGGGUAGUGAAGACCCCAAAGAGAGCAGAGCGGCCAUGCAGGUUCACAGGCCCAGUCAGGGCCUGUAAGACGUCAAAAUAGAAAGUAGAGUCCCCAGGGACAGAGCAGUUGAGCCGCAGCUUCAGGAAGGAUGUCCAGUGGCGGUCCAAGGCCCGAGGCGAGCCGCCCAUGUCACGUUUACACACUCGGGCUACUCGGGAGAACUGCACCUGGGGGAAGAGAGUGGAGCAGACAGCAGUGAAGGAGCCACAGGGCCAGCUGUGUGCAUGAGCGUGGUGAGUUAGCACCAAGGGAGCAACGUGUGAAGCAUAGUGAAUGAAGGGUGUAUGGUGGUGGGUCAGUGUGGGUCAAGGGUGAGGGACAAGCAAAAUGGGGCAGAGGCCUCGGGGCUAUUCCAAGCUGGGGGCUGAGAGACCAGGGGAUUGCUUUGUGGAGAUCACUGUCAAGAGCUCUCCUCCCACUACAGACUGGCUCCUCAGGAUCCAGCAGAACCCUCCAGCUACCCACCCUGAUGCCCACCUCCUUACCCUCCCCAGUCGGGCAUCCUCCACAGAGACCUCGCGGAAGAAGAAGUAGACAUGGUCUCCAUGCUCCAGGGCAUGGACAAAGUGUGGCUCUAAGGUGGGGAGUGACAGGGAAGGGUAUAGAAGAGUAUCUGUAUCUGCUCAAAAGCUCCUGGUCCCACACCCCUCUCCCCAUUGUGUACAUACCCACUACCACACCCUCUGCCUGCUCCCUGCCACAGUCCUCCCUCUGCAUCUCCUCCCCGAGAACAGUCUCCUUUCCCCAGGCCCGCCCUGACCUCGGAGCCACUUGGAGUCGUACUUGGCGGAGCGGAGUGGGGGCUGAGGCCCGAGGCUUCUGUAAACUACAGCAUCACUGGCCUGGAAAUCCGCAGCUGUGGCUGAGUACAGGCUGCCCUCUGGAGGGAUGGGUGAAGUGGGGCCAGGGGAGGGCUCAGGGAUCUGCGUCCUGCCUCUUCUUGGGCCUCCCGCACCCCUGCCUAGGCCUGGCCCUGGCCCCUACCUCAACCCUCCACUCAGGGGAAGGGGGGCGGGGAAGACCAUUGGGAGAGGAGCUGAGGUGGGAGCUCCCUCCAGCCACAUGCUUGCUUCUCACAUGCCCAGUUGCACACCUGCAAAGACGGCCACGUUGGACUGGGUGGCGUCAAAGGGGCAUCGAGCCUGCCCACUCAGCUCCUCACCCUCCUGCUGCAGCGAAGUUAUCUGGGAGCAGAGGGAGCAGAUCCUAGAACCUUUAGGGUCUUGGAGUAUGGCUCCACUGACUAUCCCCUCCUGUCCCAUUGCCUCCUCCCCACUCCCUCUGCCCCUCCUGCCCCAUUGCCUCCUCCCCACUCCCUCUGCCCCUCCUGCCCCAUUGCCUCCUCCCCACUCCCUCUGCCCCUCCUGCCCCAUUGCCUCCUCCCCACUCCCUCUGCCCCUCCUGCCCCAUUGCCUCCUCCCCACUCCCUCUGCCCCUCCUGCCCCAUUGCCUCCUCCCCACUCCCUCUGCCCCUCCUGCCCCAUUGCCUCCUCCCCACUCCCUCUGCCCCUCCUGCCCCAUUGCCUCCUCCCCACUCCCUCUGCCCCUCCUGCCCCAUUGCCUCCUCCCCACUCCCUCUGCCCCUCCUGCCCCAUUGCCUCCUCCCCACUCCCUCUGACCCCUUGCAUUCUGGGCACUCCCAUUCCCCAACCCCACUUCCUGGUCCUUUCCCAUCAAACUGAUUGCCCAUCUUGGGGUCCCCCAACUCCUAUCCUGACUCCCACCCUCUCUUUUGUACCCCAUAGCUGCGGCACACAGGGCUGAAUGAGUUCGUUCCACAGGCAAGGAGCGUCUGGGAGUCCCAGGGAAGAAGAACACGAAUAUAGUUGUAGCACUCGUCCUAGAGAACCCAAAAUUCUAGAAGACUGCACAGAAAGAUGUUGGAUACAUUUUAUCAUGGAGGAGAGCAAAACUUUGGUGGGAGUUGGCUUGGUACAAAAGAAAAUGUUCCCGAAGGACACAGCGUCAGCAAAAGCUUUUACUUGAUUACACAGUGGAAACAGCACCAUUGGGAGCCAUUGAGACGUAGCUAGAUUCAUCUCUGGAGUAUGGCUUUGGAUAAACCACUUAUCUCUAAGUCUGAGUCUGUCAGCGCCUUUCUCUUUACCAUCGAACUCUUCAAAAGAGUUGGUUACAUUUUCAAAUCCAAGUUGUAUCAAGGGCCCUCAGCUCUGGACAGUGGAGUGAUGAAGAGAAAGGUGGGAAUAAGAAAGGAACCACAACCCAGCCGCCAUCUCCAAAGAACCAGUGAUUCCAGUUAUGUCGGUGGUGUGCCACUUCUGAAUUUCAAUUGACCCUUCAGUGAUUCCGGUUAUGUCAGUGGUAUGCUACUUCUGAAUUUCAAUUGACCCUUCAACUUUUCACAACCGAUCAACUUUCUACUCCUUUCCCUUCUUCUAGAACUUUCUUGUAAAAUCUUCAAAUCCCAGCCCUGUCUCUAAAAAUAAAAACUCUUCUCGUCCAGGCAUGGUGGCUCAAGACUGUAAUCCCAGCACUUUGGGAGGCUGAGGCGGGCAGAUCACUUGAGGUCAGGGGUUCAAGACCAGCCUGGCCAACAAGGUGAAACCUCAUCUCUAAAAAAAAAAAAACCACACAACUCUUUUCUCAGCCGAAUUUUAUUGAACAUCUAACUCGUUCCCACUGAGCUAAUUAUU